UAGCGGCCACAGGAACCGGGAAACGCCGAAACCCAUUCCGAACUUCGAAGCUAAGCCGGUUCACGAUGUUGUCUGUACUCCGUUUCGCGGGGGAAAACGCAUUGCUGCU
This 109-nucleotide ribosomal RNA is filed under the name uncultured archaeon. The record is from RNAcentral.